This 580-nucleotide ribosomal RNA is filed under the name uncultured beta proteobacterium. RNAcentral's name for it is "bacterial SSU rRNA". It matches the Rfam family "Bacterial small subunit ribosomal RNA", at positions 1 to 575 of the family's 1533-position model. Lineage: Bacteria; Pseudomonadati; Pseudomonadota; Betaproteobacteria. The record is from RNAcentral.
UCGCCCUUAGAGUUUGAUCCUGGCUCAGAUUGAACGCUGGCGGCAUGCUUUACACAUGCAAGUCGAACGGCAGCACGGACUUCGGUCUGGUGGCGAGUGGCGAACGGGUGAGUAAUACAUCGGAACGUGCCCAGUUGUGGGGGAUAACUACUCGAAAGAGUAGCUAAUACCGCAUGAGAACUGAGGUUGAAAGCAGGGGAUCGUAAGACCUUGCGCAACUGGAGCGGCCGAUGGCAGAUUAGGUAGUUGGUGGGAUAAAAGCUUACCAAGCCGACGAUCUGUAGCUGGUCUGAGAGGACGACCAGCCACACUGGGACUGAGACACGGCCCAGACUCCUACGGGAGGCAGCAGUGGGGAAUUUUGGACAAUGGGCGAAAGCCUGAUCCAGCAAUGCCGCGUGCAGGAUGAAGGCCUUCGGGUUGUAAACUGCUUUUGUACGGAACGAAAAGCUUCGGGUUAAUACCCUGAAGUCAUGACGGUACCGUAAGAAUAAGCACCGGCUAACUACGUGCCAGCAGCCGCGGUAAUACGUAGGGUGCAAGCGUUAAUCGGAAUUACUGGGCGUAAAGCGUGCGCAGG